Molecule: ribosomal RNA, 403 nt
Filed under: uncultured microorganism
Description: bacterial SSU rRNA
Rfam family: Archaeal small subunit ribosomal RNA
Source: RNAcentral
GCGCAGCAGUCGCGAAACCUCCGCAAUGCGCGAAAGCGCGACGGGGUUACCCCGAGUGCCGUCCGCUGAGGACGGCUUUUGCCCAGUGUAGCCAGCUGGGCGAAUAAGGAGAGGGCAAGUCUGGUGUCAGCCGCCGCGGUAAUACCAGCUCUCCGAGUGGUGGGGACGCUUAUUGGGCCUAAAGCAUCCGUAGCCGGUCUGGCAAGUCCCUUGUUAAAUCCAACGAUUCAAUCGUUGGACUGCAAGGGGUACUGCCAGACUAGGGGGCGGGAGAGGCCGACGGUAUUCCCGGGGUAGGGGUGAAAUCCUAUAAUCCCGGGAGGACCACCAGUGGCGAAGGCUGUCGGCUAGAACGCGCCCGACGGUGAGGGAUGAAAGCUGGGGGAGCGAACCGGAUUAGAUA